AUUGAACGCUGGCGGCAGGCCUAACACAUGCAAGUCGAGCGGAUGAAGGGAGCUUGCUCCUGGAUUCAGCGGCGGACGGGUGAGUAAUGCCUAGGAAUCUGCCUGGUAGUGGGGGAUAACGUCCGGAAACGGGCGCUAAUACCGCAUACGUCCUGAGGGAGAAAGUGGGGGAUCUUCGGACCUCACGCUAUCAGAUGAGCCUAGGUCGGAUUAGCUAGUUGGUGGGGUAAAGGCCUACCAAGGCGACGAUCCGUAACUGGUCUGAGAGGAUGAUCAGUCACACUGGAACUGAGACACGGUCCAGACUCCUACGGGAGGCAGCAGUGGGGAAUAUUGGACAAUGGGCGAAAGCCUGAUCCAGCCAUGCCGCGUGUGUGAAGAAGGGCUUCGGAUUGUAAAGCACUUUAAGUUGGGAGGAAGGGCAGUAAGUUAAUACCUUGCUGUUUUGACGUUACCAACAGAAUAAGCACCGGCUAACUUCGUG
Molecule: ribosomal RNA, 484 nt
Filed under: uncultured bacterium
Lineage: Bacteria
Description: partial 16S ribosomal RNA
Rfam family: Bacterial small subunit ribosomal RNA
Source: RNAcentral